GACGAACGCUGGCGGCGUGCCUAAUACAUGCAAGUCGAGCGGACGGAUGGGAGCUUGCUCCCAGACCGUCAGCGGCGGACGGGUGAGUAACACGUGGGCAACCUGCCUGUAAGACUGGGAUAACUCCGGGAAACCGGGGCUAAUACCGGAUAACUCUUUCCCUCACAUGAGGGAAAGCUGAAAGAUGGCAUCUCGCUAUCACUUACAGAUGGGCCCGCGGCGCAUUAGCUAGUUGGUGAGGUAACGGCUCACCAAGGCGACGAUGCGUAGCCGACCUGAGAGGGUGAUCGGCCACACUGGGACUGAGACACGGCCCAGACUCCUACGGGAGGCAGCAGUAGGGAAUCUUCCGCAAUGGACGAAAGUCUGACGGAGCAACGCCGCGUGAGUGAUGAAGGUCUUCGGAUCGUAAAACUCUGUUGUCAGGGAAGAAAAAGUACCGGAGUAACUGCCGGUACCUUGACGGUACCUGACCAGAAAGCCACGGCUAACUACGUG
This 498-nucleotide ribosomal RNA is filed under the name uncultured bacterium. RNAcentral describes it as "partial 16S ribosomal RNA". It matches the Rfam family "Bacterial small subunit ribosomal RNA", at positions 28 to 507 of the family's 1533-position model. The record is from RNAcentral.